UGGUGGGUAGUUUGACUGGGGCGGUCUCCUCCUAAAGAGUAACGGAGGAGCACGAAGGUUGGCUAAUCCUGGUCGGACAUCAGGAGGUUAGUGCAAUGGCAUAAGCCAGCUUGACUGCGAGCGUGACGGCGCGAGCAGGUGCGAAAGCAGGUCAUAGUGAUCCGGUGGUUCUGAAUGGAAGGGCCAUCGCUCAACGGAUAAAAGGUACUCCGGGGAUAACAGGCUGAUACCGCCCAAGAGUUCAUAUCGACGGCGGUGUUUGGCACCUCGAUGUCGGCUCAUCACAUCCUGGGGCUGAAGUAGGUCCCAAGGGUAUGGCUGUUCGCCAUUUAAAGUGGUACGCGAGCUGGGUUUAGAACGUCGUGAGACAGUUCGGUCCCUAUCUGCCGUGGGCGCUGGAGAACUGAGGGGGGCUGCUCCUAGUACGAGAGGACCGGAGUGGACGCAUCACUGGUGUUCGGGUUGUCAUGCCAAUGGCACUGCCCGGUAGCUAAAUGCGGA
Molecule: ribosomal RNA, 501 nt
Filed under: Escherichia coli
Lineage: Bacteria; Pseudomonadati; Pseudomonadota; Gammaproteobacteria; Enterobacterales; Enterobacteriaceae
Also listed under: 3 other names
Description: partial 23S ribosomal RNA
Rfam family: Bacterial large subunit ribosomal RNA
Source: RNAcentral